This 576-nucleotide ribosomal RNA is filed under the name uncultured bacterium. RNAcentral describes it as "partial small subunit ribosomal RNA". The stretch from base 1 to 204 matches the Rfam family "Bacterial small subunit ribosomal RNA", at positions 1332 to 1533 of the family's 1533-position model. The record is from RNAcentral.
GGGCUAGUAAUGGCGCAUCAGCUACGGCGCCGUGNAUACGUUCCCAGGCCUUGUACACACCGCCCGUCACAUCAUGAAAGCCGGUUGUACCCGAAGUCCAUGUUGCUAACCGCAAGGAAGCAGUGGCCGAAGGUAUGGCUGGUGAUUGGGAUGAAGUCGUAACAAGGUAGCCGUAGGGGAACCUGCGGCUGGAUCACCUCCUUUCUAAGGAGACUAUGGACCGGAGAAAUCCGGAACCCUAGGUCGAACCCCGACUCGGACUCACGUCCUCGUCGGGACGGCUCGAGCCAAUCGCUUAUCGCACUAUUCAGUUCUUCAAGGAGCAGAAAUGUUCUUUUACAAUCGAUCGUUUAAAUAUUCGAACCUGCCUGGCCGGCGAAUUUGAAAUUUCAAAUCUCAAAUUUGAAAUUACUUGUUGGGGCUGUAGCUCAGUUGGUAGAGCGGUAGCUUUGCAAGCUAUAGGUCAGGAGUUCGAGCCUCCUCAGCUCCACCAAAUUUGGGCCUGUAGCUCAGUUGGUUAGAGCAUGCGCUUGAUAAGCGCAGGGUCACUGGUUCGAGUCCAUUUAGGCCCACCAA